Molecule: unclassified non-coding RNA, 274 nt
Filed under: uncultured fungus
Lineage: Eukaryota; Fungi
Description: sequence contains ITS1, 5.8S rRNA gene
Rfam family: 5.8S ribosomal RNA (bases 226-274)
Source: RNAcentral
UUUCCGUAGGUGAACCUGCGGAAGGAUCAUUACUGAGUUCUGGGUUCUCUUUCGAGGCCCGACCUCCAACCCUUUGUUUAUAUGACCACGUUGCUUCGGCAGGCCCGUCUCUCGGGACCGCCGGGGGGUGAUAAACCAUCCUCUGGUCCGCUGCCUGCCGAUAGCCCAAUUAUCCAAACUCUUGAACAAACCAUGUCGUCUGAGUAACCAAAUAAAUUAAAACAAAACUUUCAACAACGGAUCUCUUGGUUCUGGCAUCGAUGAAGAACGCAGC